This 480-nucleotide ribosomal RNA is filed under the name uncultured bacterium. RNAcentral's name for it is "partial 16S ribosomal RNA". It matches the Rfam family "Bacterial small subunit ribosomal RNA", at positions 28 to 507 of the family's 1533-position model. The record is from RNAcentral.
GAUGAACGCUAGCGGCAGGCCUAAUACAUGCAAGUCGAGGGGUAUGGGUUGCUUGCAACCCAGAGACCGGCGCACGGGUGCGUAACGCGUAUGCAAUCUACCUUAAUCAGGGGGAUAGCCCGGAGAAAUCCGGAUUAACACCGCAUAACAUUGAGUUGUGGCAUCACAGUUCAAUCAAAUAUUUAUAGGAUUAAGAUGAGCAUGCGUGACAUUAGUUAGUUGGUGAGGUAACGGCUCACCAAGACCACGAUGUCUAGGGGAUCUGAGAGGAUGACCCCCCACACUGGUACUGAGACACGGACCAGACUCCUACGGGAGGCAGCAGUAAGGAAUAUUGGUCAAUGGGCGCAAGCCUGAACCAGCCAUGCCGCGUGCAGGAAGACGGCCCUAUGGGUUGUAAACUGCUUUUGUACCGGAAUAAACCUUCUCUUGCGAGAGAAGCUGAACGUACGGUAAGAAUAAGAAUCGGCUAACUCCGUG